UUAUAGGCGUGAGCCUCCGCGCCCAGCAAAAAGACAUUCUUAUAGAAAAGCAUUGGAAGGCAAUUUUUUAAACAGUUGCAAUAGGGUUAGGAUUAUGGUUUUCUAUUCUUAUCAACAUUUUGUAAUGUUUCUAUGACAUAUUUUCUCUAAUAAGAAGCAGGUAGAAAGUAAAUUCGUUCACCAGUGGGAAUUGAAAGGGUACGAAGAGACACUAUAAAACAGGUGAGUCAUAUGUGUUUUUGCCCCAAGCAUGCAUUACUCUGCAAUGGUGGGAACAGAGUGAAGUCAAGAAUUGUUGUCUUCUGUGGGAAGUCUGUUUAAUUUGCAGGAAAUAGUGGAUAAGCAGAACUUACUAAAGAAAUCUCACUCAAUUUUGCUAAAGAGGGAGAAUAUGAUUUGAUUUUAUGCUACCUUAAUAUUUAAGCAAGAGCACUGCUUUUCUUCGAUUUCUGCCACCUAUCAUCAAGUCAACUAUUUAUAAAGAGACUACUCAGUGCCAGGCACUGAUCUUUAGAAACUCGAAUCCUCAUAACAAUUGGGAAAUAUACUACCAUACUACUUUUUAUAUUUCCAAGGGCAGAUCGUAGAACACUAGGCCUGCUUUCAAAAUAUCUUUCAGUUGAAUUAAACCAUAGGCCAAACUGAUACAUAGACAAAUGAUUGUUCCUAUUACCUGAAGUAAGGGGAAAAGGAGCUCAAAUCACUUGUCUUCCUGCCACAUGCAACCACUCUGUUAGGCCUCUUACAUAUGUUCUCAUUAAACCAUAGCAUGAGGUGGGUAUAUAGCAUAACCCCUAUUUUGUCUCAAAACUCAAAUAGCAAGGUCACAGAUAGCUAAGUUAUUCCUAGGCUAGACUCGAAGGCUUAGGAGUGCUUGGGACUUUCCUAACAUUUGGACUUCCUUGUAGUUAUUCUCAAAGGAGGAGCGAUUGGCAUUUUGGACAGAGCACUUCUUUGUGCAGGACUGUCUGACAGAUUGCAAGAUAUCCCGUAUCCCUGGCCCCGGUUAUAAAAGGCUUGGAGCAUCACUCCUUGGUAUUGUGACAACGAAAAAUGCUCCUCCACUUCCAAAUGUUCUCUGGGGUGGGAGGAUUCCACCUUCAUUAGAGAAACAUUAAGAGAUUUUUUUUAAAAAUUCAUAUUCAUACCACCGAUAAAUGUUUAUCAGGUCCCUUCUCCAUGCCAGGCACUUUGCUGGCAUGAGAGAUGUUUAGUGGAGAAGACUGACGUUUAAAGUGGUGUCACAAAAUACAGCAAACUCUGCAACAAACCAACAUGCCAUGAGCACAGAGAGGAAAAUGCCUCUGUCUAGAGCAUCUGGGCCAAGCUUGGUGACCUGUUACCGUGAAGUACCCCAGGAGAGUGCCAGAUUUGCUAUUCAAAGCCCUCCAUUCAUGUGAUCAAUCAGAAUCUUAAUUAUUAUCUCACUUCAGGCUUCUAGCUUUUUCUCACUAAGAAUUAAUUUCUCUGUAUGAAAGAUGGAAACUAUAAUACUAUCAUCUGUCCUACCUACCGAACAGAGUUGAUUCAGGGGAAAGCAUUAGGGCGUGCUAUGCACGUUUAGUAAUGUAGCAGGGAUUCGAGAGCCUAAUUUGUGUUCUCUGCUGGGAAUCAGGCAUGUCUGGAAAUGUCCAAUGACUUGGCAGGGUAGGCAGCCUACUGGCAUCUAUUUUUAAGAAGUUGGUUUCCCUGGAUUCUCAUCUGAGCCCUGUGGAGAGAGAGGUUGUUUGCAGAGUCUGAGGAGGCUGUUGUCAUAAGGGACUCUGUGAGACGCAGGGGCUCAAGCUAUGCUCUCUGGUACCCAGAUAACAAACUAAAGCCCAGAGCUAGGGGCUGGGCAGGGUGGAGAUAGGGCAGAAAACCUCUCCAUCUCUGCUGUAAACACAGCAUGCCUGUAGUGCCAGAAGGAGUGCUGAGGACUGCAGAGGCCACAGCACCGCUUUAACUCCCAGGGCCAUACUAGGUCCGUCACUAGCAGCAGCCACGUGAGGAGAUGCCCACCUUUCGAUGGCCUUAUGGGCAGGAAACGUCAACCAGGACAGCGACCUCUAGGGGACCUGUACAGCCGGGUGCCAGGGGCCGUGUGACUUCCCAGGCUAGAGCAUUAGAAUGCCACGCACUUCUGCCAGCUCUCUCUAGACACUGACCCUUAGACCCAAUCUGGGUGCUCAGAGGAAGUCCAAGCAGCCUGUGAUGAGGCCCCCAUGGAGAGAAACCAAGACUCCUAGCCCCCAGCCCAGAGAAGCUUCCAGACAAUGUCCAGAACCUCCUUGCCAGCCUCCUGAGUAAGGAAUCCCGACAUGGACCUCCCAGGUAUUGCUGUCAUCAUUUCUUCCUCCUGCUGGUUUCAGAACCAUGUUAUUCUUCCUGCUGCAUUUCCACCAGCCAUUUUCUUCUGCAACCUGUAGGUUUCAGUUUUCAGUUGAGUCAGCUCCAUUUAGAAGGCUUCCCUGGAAAUUUCAUACAGCGGUUCUGCUUAUCUCCCAAUGGCCAGAAUCUAGCUACGUGAUAUAUUAGUUUGUUCUCAUGGUGCUAUAAAGACAUAUCUGAGACUGGG
Molecule: long non-coding RNA, 2557 nt
Filed under: Homo sapiens (human)
Lineage: Eukaryota; Metazoa; Chordata; Mammalia; Primates; Hominidae
Description: non-protein coding lnc-SMARCA2-1:2
Source: RNAcentral